Molecule: ribosomal RNA, 397 nt
Filed under: uncultured bacterium
Lineage: Bacteria
Description: partial 16S ribosomal RNA
Rfam family: Bacterial small subunit ribosomal RNA
Source: RNAcentral
AUACGUAGGGGGCGAGCGUUGUCCGGAAUGAUUGGGCGUAAAGGGCGCGUAGGCGGCCCGGUAAGUCUGGAGUGAAAGUCCUGUUUUUAAGAUGGGAAUUGCUUUGGAUACUGUCGGGCUUGAGUGCAGGAGAGGUAAGUGGAAUUCCCAGUGUAGCGGUGAAAUGCGUAGAGAUUGGGAGGAACACCAGUGGCGAAGGCGACUUACUGGACUGUAACUGACGCUGAGGCGCGAAAGUGUGGGGAGCAAACAGGAUUAGAUACCCUGGUAGUCCACACUGUAAACGAUGAAUACUAGGUGUAGGGGGUAUCGACUCCCUCUGUGCCGCAGUUAACACAAUAAGUAUUCCGCCUGGGGAGUACGGCCGCAAGGUUGAAACUCAAAGGAAUUGACGGGG